UAGUUUUGUUCUUUAAACCUAAAGAAUUUGGCGGUGUUUUAUUCUGUUCAGAGGAACUUGUCCCGUAAUCGAUAAUCCUCGUUUUAUCUUACUUUAAUUAUUAGUAUGUAUAUCGCCGUUAUAAGUUUAUUUUUUUAGAAUAUUUACUUUAUAUUUUAUUUUUUAUUAUUUCAGGUCAAGGUGCAGUUUAUAUUAAAGAGGUGGUGAGUUACAAUAAUUUUGAUUAUAUGGAUUUUUAAUUUAAAUUUUAAUUGAAGGUGGAUUUGAUAGUAAUUUUAAUAAUAUAAUUAUUUUGAUUUUAGUUCUAAAAUGAGUACACAUCGCCCGUCGCUCUA
This 335-nucleotide ribosomal RNA is filed under the name Lonchodinae sp. SB0543. RNAcentral's name for it is "partial small subunit ribosomal RNA". The record is from RNAcentral. Lineage: Eukaryota; Metazoa; Arthropoda; Insecta; Phasmatodea; Lonchodidae.